This 520-nucleotide unclassified non-coding RNA is filed under the name uncultured Entrophospora. Its description in RNAcentral is "SSU rRNA". It matches the Rfam family "Eukaryotic small subunit ribosomal RNA", at positions 569 to 1082 of the family's 1831-position model. The record is from RNAcentral. Lineage: Eukaryota; Fungi; Glomeromycota; Glomeromycetes; Entrophosporales; Entrophosporaceae.
AGCAGCCGCGGUAAUUCCAGCUCCAAUAGCGUAUAUUAAAGUUGUUGCAGUUAAAAAGCUCGUAGUUGAAUUUCGGGAUUGACACAUCGGUCGUGCCUUAAGGGGUAUGAACUGGUGUAGUCAAUUUCUCACCUUCUGGAGAACCGCGAUGCCCUUAAUUGGGUGUCGCGGGGAACCAGGACCUUUACUUUGAAAAAAUUUAGAGUGUUUAAAGCAGGCAUUUUGCUUGAAUACAUUAGCAUGGAAUAAUAAAAUAGGACGGCAUGAUUCUAUUUUGUUGGUUUCUAGGAUCACCGUAAUGAUUAAUAGGGAUAGUUGGGGGGCAUUAGUAUUCAAUUGUCAGAGGUGAAAUUCUUGGAUUUAUUGAAGACUAACUACUGCGAAAGCAUUUGCCAAGGAUGUUUUCAUUAAUCAAGAACGAAAGUUAGGGGAUCGAAGACGAUCAGAUACCGUCGUAGUCUUAACCAUAAACUAUGCCGACUAGGAAUCAGACGAUGUUAAUUUUUUAAUGACUCGUUUG